Molecule: ribosomal RNA, 434 nt
Filed under: Copelatus sp. MB 646
Lineage: Eukaryota; Metazoa; Arthropoda; Insecta; Coleoptera; Dytiscidae
Description: partial 16S ribosomal RNA
Source: RNAcentral
CCUGCCCACUGAUUAAUUGAAUGGCCGCAGUAAUUUGACUGUGCAAAGGUAGCAUAAUCAUUAGUUUUUUAAUUAAAAGCUUGUAUGAAGGGUUGGACGAAGUAAAAUCUGUCUCUAUUUAAUUUAUUUUAGAAUUUAAUUUUUAAGUUAAAAAGCUUAAAUUUGAAUAAAAGACGAGAAGACCCUAUAGAUCUUUAUAUUUUAUUAAAUAAUUUUAUUUAGGAUUAUUUUAUUUUUUAUUUAUUUAAAUAUUUUAUUGGGGUAAUAGAAAGAUUAAUUAAAUUCUUUUUUUUUUGUUAUAUAAAUUAAUAAUUAUUUGAUCCAAUUAUUUUGAUUAUAAGAUUAAGUUACCUUAGGGAUAACAGCGUAAUUUUUUUAGAGAGUUCAUAUCGAUAAGAAAGUUUGCGACCUCGAUGUUGGAUUAAAAAUUAUUU